RNAcentral lists this unclassified non-coding RNA (404 nucleotides) under soil metagenome. RNAcentral describes it as "partial contains 5.8S ribosomal RNA, internal transcribed spacer 2, and large subunit ribosomal RNA". The stretch from base 1 to 121 matches the Rfam family "5.8S ribosomal RNA", at positions 35 to 154 of the family's 154-position model. The record is from RNAcentral.
GAUGAAGAACGUAGCGAAAUGCGAUAAGUAGUGUGAAUUGCAGAUUUCAGUGAAUCAUCGAAUCUUUGAACGCACCUUGCGCCCUUUGGCUAUUCCGAAGGGCAUGCCUGUUUGAGUAUCAUGAACACCUCAACUCUCAUGGGUUUGCCAUGAUGAGCUUGGACUUUGGGGGUCUUGCUGGCCUAUGGUCAGCUCCUCUCAAAUGGAUCAGCUUGCCAGUGUUUGGUGGCACCACAGGUGUGAUAACUAUCUACGCUUGUGGCUUUCCACCAGGUAACCUUCAGUGAUGAAGGUUCGCUGGGGCUUAUAAAUGUCUCUCCUCAGUGGAGACGGCUUUUUUGAAUGUUUGAUCUCAAAUCAGGUAGGACUACCCGCUGAACUUAAGCAUAUCAAUAAGCGGAGGA